This 486-nucleotide ribosomal RNA is filed under the name uncultured bacterium. RNAcentral's name for it is "SSU rRNA". It matches the Rfam family "Bacterial small subunit ribosomal RNA", at positions 26 to 524 of the family's 1533-position model. The record is from RNAcentral.
AGGAUUAACGCUGGCGGCGUGCAUGAAACAUGCAAGUCGAGCGCGGUGUGAUGCGGGGUAACCCAAUUCACAUCUAGCGGCGAACGGGUGAGUAACACGUGAGCAACCUACCUUUGAGUUGGGGAUAGCCCUGGGAAACCAGGAUUAAUACCCGAUGUGGUCACAACAGGACAUCCUGAUGUGAGUAAAGGCGCAAGCCGCUCAAUGACGGGCUCGCGGCCUAUUAGCUUGUUGGUGGGUAACGGCCUACCAAGGCGAUGAUGGGUAGCUGGUCUGAGAGGACGAUCAGCCACACUGGACUGAGACACGGCCCAGACUCCUACGGGAGGCAGCAGUUAGGAAUUUUCCGCAAUGGGCGAAAGCCUGACGGAGCAACGCCGCGUGAGUGAUGAAGACCUUCGGGUUGUAAGCUCUGUCGGAGGGAAGAACACAAUGACGGUACCUCCAAGAAAGCCCGGCUAACUACGCGCCAGCAGCCGCGGUAAU